GGGGAAUUUUCCGCAAUGGGCGAAAGCCUGACGGAGCAAGACCGCGUGAGGGAGGAAGGCCUUUGGGUUGUAAACCUCUUUUGUCAGGGAAGAACAAAAUGACGGUACCUGACGAAUCAGCCUCGGCUAACUCCGUGCCAGCAGCCGCGGUAAUACGGAGGAGGCAAGCGUUAUCCGGAAUUAUUGGGCGUAAAGCGUCAGUAGGUGGCCAAGUAAGUCUGCUGUCAAAGACCACAGCUUAACUGUGGAAAGGCAGUGGAAACUGCGGGGCUAGAGUGCGGUAGGGGUAGAGGGAAUUCCAGGUGUAGCGGUGAAAUGCGUAGAGAUCUGGAAGAACACCGGUGGCGAAAGCGCUCUACUGGGCCGUAACUGACACCGAGGGACGAAAGCUAGGGGAGCGAAAGGGAUUAGAUACCCC
This 418-nucleotide ribosomal RNA is filed under the name Hormoscilla spongeliae DYS02158. RNAcentral's name for it is "bacterial SSU rRNA". It matches the Rfam family "Bacterial small subunit ribosomal RNA", at positions 356 to 788 of the family's 1533-position model. Lineage: Bacteria; Bacillati; Cyanobacteriota; Cyanophyceae; Gomontiellales; Gomontiellaceae. The record is from RNAcentral.